Molecule: ribosomal RNA, 732 nt
Filed under: uncultured archaeon
Lineage: Archaea
Description: bacterial SSU rRNA
Rfam family: Archaeal small subunit ribosomal RNA
Source: RNAcentral
CUUGGGUCCGGCAUAACUCCGGGAAACUGGAGAUAAUUCCGGAUAACGCAUAUAUGCUGGAAUGCUUUAUGCGUAAAAUGGAUUCGUCUGCCCAAGGAUGGGUCUGCGGCCUAUCAGGUAGUAGUGGGUGUAAUGUACCUACUAGCCUACGACGGGUACGGGUUGUGAGAGCAAGAGCCCGGAGAUGGAUUCUGAGACAUGAAUCCAGGCCCUACGGGGCGCAGCAGGCGCGAAAACUUUACAAUGCGGGAAACCGUGAUAAGGGGACACCGAGUGCCAGCAUCAUAUGCUGGCUGUCCAGGUGUGUAAAAUACACCUGUUAGCAAGGGCCGGGCAAGACCGGUGCCAGCCGCCGCGGUAACACCGGCGGCCCGAGUGGUGAUCGUGAUUAUUGGGUCUAAAGGGUCCGUAGCCGGUUUGGUCAGUCCUCCGGGAAAUCUGAUAGCUCAACUAUUAGGCUUUCGGAGGAUACUGCCAGACUUGGAACCGGGAGAGGUAAGAGGUACUACAGGGGUAGGAGUGAAAUCUUGUAAUCCCUGUGGGACCACCUGUGGCGAAGGCGUCUUACCAGAACGGGUUCGACGGUGAGGGACGAAAGCUGGGGGCACGAACCGGAUUAGAUACCCGGGUAGUCCCAGCCGUAAACGAUGCUCGCUAGGUGUCAGGCAUGGCGCGACCGUGUCUGGUGCCGCAGGGAAGCCGUGAAGCGAGCCACCUGGGAAGUACGGCCGC